UAGGGAAUCUUCCGCAAUGGAGGAAAGUCUGACGGAGCAACGCCGCGUGAACGAAGAAGGCCUUCGGGUCGUAAAGUUCUGUUGUUAGGGAAGAACAAGUACCAGAGUAACUGCUGGUACCUUGACGGUACCUAACCAGAAAGCCACGGCUAACUACGUG
Molecule: ribosomal RNA, 160 nt
Filed under: Bacillaceae bacterium 1914_FYM(14)
Lineage: Bacteria; Bacillati; Bacillota; Bacilli; Caryophanales; Bacillaceae
Description: partial 16S ribosomal RNA
Rfam family: Bacterial small subunit ribosomal RNA
Source: RNAcentral